Molecule: ribosomal RNA, 508 nt
Filed under: uncultured bacterium
Lineage: Bacteria
Description: partial 16S ribosomal RNA
Rfam family: Bacterial small subunit ribosomal RNA (bases 20-332)
Source: RNAcentral
GACGAACGCUGGCGGCGUGCUUAACACAUGCAAGUCGAACGGAAAGGCCCUGCUUUUGUGGGGUGCUCGAGUGGCGAACGGGUGAGUAACACGUGAGUAACCUGCCCUUGACUUUGGGAUAACUUCAGGAAACUGGGGCUAAUACCGGAUAGGAGCUCCUGCUGCAUGGUGGGGGUUGGAAAGUUUCGGCGGUUGGGGAUGGACUCGCGGCUUAUCAGCUUGUUGGUGGGGUAGUGGCUUACCAAGGCUUUGACGGGUAGCCGGCCUGAGAGGGUGACCGGCAACGUGGGGGCUGGACUGGGGCCGAAAGUGGGACAGGGGGGAGAAGGGGGGAAAGGUGCGCACGGGGCGGAGGUAGGAGGCAGAAGCGGGGCGUGCGGCAGGGGGGGCUGGGGGGUGAAACGGUUGGUCCGGGGGAAGGAGGGGGGGGGGAGGGUAAUGUGCAAUGAAGGAGCGGAUAACGCGGUGCUAGGAGCGAGGGAAAAGGAGGAAGAGAACUCGUAGGAUC